This 900-nucleotide long non-coding RNA is filed under the name Citrus sinensis (sweet orange). Its description in RNAcentral is "long non-coding RNA (CSIN_LNC002988)". The record is from RNAcentral. Lineage: Eukaryota; Viridiplantae; Streptophyta; Magnoliopsida; Sapindales; Rutaceae.
AAAAAAACUAGUAACAGAACAUACAUUUCUAAGAUUCACAAUAGUCAAAGAAUUAUCAAAACAGCCAAAGAAUCGCCAAAACUCCACUCAAUCAUAUUUGCAGAUGUAUUUACAUAGUGUGUCUUGCAAAGUUUUGAUGUUUUCUUCGCUUCAAAACCAAAAGAAAAAUGAAAAAAAGGCAACAAACACAAGAUCAAAGCUCAUAUUUUUAUCUUCUUUAUCCAAUACUGAAGCAAAGAUCCAAGCUCCCCAGAGAGAUGUGAGUGAACCUGGGCUACGGAGAGAUCGGAGAAGAGAUCGAAUAAAGUUAUAUAACAAAGAGCGCACUAAAAGAUUGCAUUGUUUUGACAAUUUUUUCGUUUGUUCUUUAGUCUUUUUUUCAAAGAGGUGAGAUAAUGAGAGCAAAAAGUAGAAAUUAAGGUUUGUUCUUUUUUUUUUUUUUUUUAGGUUUUAAACUGUCGAUAUAAAAUCGUGGCAGCUCCCGGACCUCAGUAAAUCCCCAAGCCCGACCCAAUUUUUUUGCGAGCUUUAGACCUAGUUCCCAACUCAAACCUGAUUAGCAUUUGGGACCUCUUGGGGACCAUAACUGUUAAAUUGUAUACCGUACGGAUGAUUUUUUUUUUUUUAUCAAAACUGUUAAAUUGUAUACCGUACGGAUGAUUUUUUUUUUUUUAUCAACAAUAGUUUGUUUUUAUUUGUUAUUUACGUUAUUUUUGGAUUAACGACUUAUGAAAUGAUAAUCUCCAAAUUACCUCUAAAUUAUUGUAAAUCUCAACUUACUCUCAUUACCAAUGAGAAAACAAAAAAUUUUCAUCAAGCGUCUUAAUUUUUUGCUUAUCUUUUGAAUGAUAAUGAGAGAUAAGUUGAGGUUUAAAGUAGUUUGAAAGUAUUUUGAAAAUA